RNAcentral lists this unclassified non-coding RNA (379 nucleotides) under uncultured Nectriaceae. RNAcentral describes it as "sequence contains ITS2". The stretch from base 1 to 154 matches the Rfam family "5.8S ribosomal RNA". The record is from RNAcentral. Lineage: Eukaryota; Fungi; Ascomycota; Sordariomycetes; Hypocreales; Nectriaceae.
AACUUUUAGCAACGGAUCACUUGGUUCUGGCAUCGAUGAAGAACGCAGCGAAAUGCGAUAAGUAAUGUGAAUUGCAGAAUUCAGUGAAUCGUCGAAUCUUUGAACGCACAUUGCGCCCGCCAGUAUUCUGGCGGGCAUGCCUGUUCGAGCGUCAUUUCAACCCUCAAGCCCCCGGGCUUGGUGUUGGGGAUCGGCGUGCCCUCGCGGCGCGCCGUCCCCGAAAUCUAGUGGCGGUCUCGCUGUAGCUUCCUCUGCGUAGUAGCAACACUCGCACUGGAUCGCGGCGCGGCCACGCCGUUAAACCCCCCACUUCUGAAAGGUUGACCUCGGAUCAGGUAGGAAUACCCGCUGAACUUAAGCAUAUCAAUAAGCGGAGGCU